RNAcentral lists this non-coding RNA (148 nucleotides) under Nomascus leucogenys (northern white-cheeked gibbon). Lineage: Eukaryota; Metazoa; Chordata; Mammalia; Primates; Hylobatidae. The record is from Rfam by way of RNAcentral.
GCUGGGCACUGUGGUGCAUGCCUGUAGUCCCAGCUACCUGGGAGGCUGAGGCAGGAGGAUCACUGGAGCCCAGGAGUUGGAGGCUGCAGUGAGCUAUGAUGGUGUCACUGUACUCCCACCUGAGCAACAGAGAGAGACCCUGGCUCUA